This 432-nucleotide unclassified non-coding RNA is filed under the name soil metagenome. RNAcentral describes it as "partial contains 5.8S ribosomal RNA, internal transcribed spacer 2, and large subunit ribosomal RNA". The stretch from base 1 to 120 matches the Rfam family "5.8S ribosomal RNA", at positions 35 to 154 of the family's 154-position model. The record is from RNAcentral.
GAUGAAGAACGUAGCGAAAUGCGAUACGUAAUGUGAAUUGCAGAAUUCAGUGAAUCAUCGAAUCUUUGAACGCAUAUUGCGCUCUCUGGUAUUCCGGAGAGCAUGCUUGUUUGAGUAUCAGUAAACACCUCAACUUCCAUAUCUUUUUUGAAAUGGGAGUUGGACUUGAGUGAUCCCAACGCUUUUCCUCACCGAAAAGUGGCGGGUUACUUGAAAUGCAGGUGCAGCUGGACUUUUCUCUGAGCUAUAAGCAUAUCUAUUUAGUCUGCCUAAAAAACAGAUUAUUACCCUUGCUGCAGCUAACAUAAAGGAGAUUAGUUCUUGUGCUGACUGAUGCAGGAUUCACAAAGACAGCUUCGGCCGACUUUGUAAACUCGAUCUCAAAUCAAGUAAGACUACCCGCUGAACUUAAGCAUAUCAAUAAGCGGAGGA